AAUAUUGGGACAUAUAAAAAAAGAAAAUUCUGUUCCUCAGAGUAGCUGUUGACAUUAUAGUUGCACAGGCACUUUGUUGACUCUAGAGAACCUCGGGCCAAUUGCACAUCCCCGUGACGGCGACUUUGCAUUCGGAUGUCAUCCAUAUCAACUUUCGAUGCCAGUUUCUGUGCCUACCAUGGUGACCAUGGGUAACGGGGAAUCAGGGUUCCAAUCCGUACAGGGACCCUAAGAAACGGAUACCACAUGCAAGGAAGGCAGCAGGCGCGCAAAUGACCCACUCCCGACGCGGGAAGGUAGUGA
Molecule: non-coding RNA, 303 nt
Organism: Pelobates cultripes (western spadefoot toad)
Lineage: Eukaryota; Metazoa; Chordata; Amphibia; Anura; Pelobatidae
Source: the annotation of a GenBank genome assembly